UGUCAGCAGCCAGGGGGAAGGAGCUCUUGUAGAAAUGCUACUCAGAGACACUUGGUUGCCUAUUCUGCCGCUGUGUCGUCUAUCCAAGAAUGUUGUGGUAUUUUGCAAGCAGCACAGCACACACCAUGCCUGCAAGGAGGAUAUUAUCAUCUCCAUGUUACAAAUUAGAAAAAAGAGAUGCCAAUGGAUUAAGUAAAUUGGUAAAUGAAGUUUGGAGUAAAGUCAAGAACCAAAGAUUCCAGAAUCAAUACAUAAGGGCACUGUAUUCAUUGGUUGUGGGAACAAAGUGCAAGAUAGCAAAAAAGACUGAAAAUGAGGCAUUUUUUGCUCCUGAGCUGUCAGGAAAACGGAGCUUACAGCCAAAAAACAAUCUCUUUACAAAUGCUGGAAUCACAUGGCCCCAUUCUGCACUGGCUUGUAUUUUUUUAUUUCAUUUAAAACAAAUUCAAAUUAUAGUGUUUUACACCUGUUUUUCAUUAAUGUAAAUGAUUAUAGAAGAUGCUACACCAUGGAGAAUCAGGACCUAGACUCUGAACUAUCUAGGGAACUGGGAAGUAAUACAUAAAUAGGGGUUGUCACAUGAUGGCUUCUGUAUGAACUUUUGAGCUGAAAAGCAAUCACAUUGGACUAACCUUAUAUGGCUUUGGUAGCUGGCAUGAUUUAGGAGCACCCAUAGAUAGGGAUGAAAUUUGAGUCUGGACAUAAUCUUAUGUAACAAAUUACUAUGCUAGCUGGUUAUGUUGCAGAAUGAUUAAGACUGGGUGCAGUUACAUGAGACAUUUACUGUAGAGUAGACUAAUUAGCUCUGCAGUAAAUGUCACACAUCAACACAUGCACCUCUAUUAGUCGAAGUGAAUUAAUUACACUUGUAAAUACAAGUACUAUCCUGCUAUGGAGGUUUUAACUCUGCAGCAGUGCACAUGUAGACACUGCCCCAACUGGCUCAGGCACAAGUAUGCUUCAAUGCAGGAGCUGCCUAGUGCCUAACCCCACACUGAAGCACCCUUGUACCCUAGCGAACCCCUCCACAACAUGUUGAGUCAGGGGAAGUAGCCCUAAGCUGGCAGG
This is a long non-coding RNA of Alligator mississippiensis (American alligator), 1068 nucleotides long. RefSeq lists it as uncharacterized. The record is from RefSeq and is a predicted model, not a curated record. Lineage: Eukaryota; Metazoa; Chordata; Crocodylia; Alligatoridae. The transcript is spliced from 3 exons.